This 2767-nucleotide long non-coding RNA is filed under the name Sorghum bicolor (sorghum). RNAcentral describes it as "long non-coding RNA (SBIC_LNC014298)". The record is from RNAcentral. Lineage: Eukaryota; Viridiplantae; Streptophyta; Magnoliopsida; Poales; Poaceae.
UUCCUAGUACUACCUCCAUGAUCCCACACUCCUAUACAUAUGGGCUAGAAUGAUGCACAUUCAAUCUUUGAGAGAUAUAAAGAAAAAUACAUAUACAUAGAUAGAUUAUCUUUCCAUAAGGUUGAGCGAUCUGAUCUGACAAAUGUUAUAAGUGCUACACUCAUGAACUUAUCACCCAUCAAAUUUGUCUUUCUCCCUAUGCUUAAGGAUAGAGAAGAAUAAAUAUACUUUUGGUUCUGUUGGUGUUUUCCACCAACAGGACCCAUGCACUUGAUCUCUGCCUUGUCUCUAUGAGCAGGACACAUUUUGAGAAACACGGGGGAUUUUUCAACUCCCAGACUCUACCAAGUGAAGGACUUGAUCUACGAGCACAAACACACUGAGCAAGAUACUGCCACGCCGCACUUUGAACUGCUAGACAAACGAAGAAUAUGGGUGACACCGUAUCAAGAGGUGCAGACGUCAAGGUCCACACCUGAAUCAAAUGACGCACCUAAAGAAUGAACACGGUGAGAAGUCUUGUUCGGAAGACAUAAAACAUUGAACCCUUGCCGAAAGGUAAAAUCGGUAGUUAUCUAUAUUUAUCCUUUCUGCAUUCCUUUUUCCUUAAAUUAUUUACUUUCCUUAAAUAGCUUGUUAGUUGAUUAUGCUAUCAUGAAAUAAAAAUAAAAAAUGUUAAAAAUAGUAAGCCCCAUGGGAGUAUGCUUGUGGCAUAAAACCCAUAAGUACAUUCACUGUGGUGGUGUAAAAAUAAAAUAAAUAUAUUCGUGUCCAAUAGAAAUGAAAGUAUAAAAAUAAAUUUAUGAUCCUACCAAAGAGAGUAAAAUCUAUUAGAGGAAGCUCAACAUGAUAACAACUAAGAGAUUUUAUGCUAACACUUAACCAGUUCCACAAAGCUUUGUUGUCUAUUUGAGCUCCGCAGAAUCCAAGGAUCAAAGAAGACUAGCAGACGGAGGACAUCCUAAUCGCUGUCUAGGUGCUGCCGACAUUCAAAUACACCUCCGCCACCUGCUAGCUACAUCAGAAGAAAUUACGUUAAAUCCAGCUUGGGGGAGGGCACCCCCAUUUAUCCAGCUAAGUGUUUCUACUCAUGUUUAUACUUUACUCAAAUAAUAAAAAUAUGCAUAAUCAUAAAAACCCAAAUAAAGAUUUUAUGCUUAUAUAUAUAUAUCUUUUCUUAGUUUGCUAAAUAAAUAAAUAAAUAAAGUUUGCUAUGAACCCUCAUGAUAAGCUCUCACAUGGAAAUGAUGAAUAGUUGCUCUGCCAUGACUAGUUCUCAAAAUUGAAUUCUCUCUCAAGUUUAGGCAUGACUGCUAUGAAUAAAGAUUUGCUCUAAACCUAAACUUGUGGGAAGAGUACCUGAUCAAAAGUCUAAGUCGUUAACAGAUAUGAUAUGGGAAGGUUGAGCUGCUGUUUAUCUAUUCCUAGAGAUGCUAGAAUUCUGGAGAAUUUUAUCUUUGAAAAUCUUUAAAAUGUUGCAUGAUGAGUUCCUGUAUGAUGAGAGUUUAAAUCCUACCACAGCCAUAUAUACAUGCUUAUUAGACAAUGAACCAUACAUUUACUUUUUACUGCUUAUGAGCAUUGAGUGUGGUCAAGCUGUGUAGACCCUUAGGAGCUUGUCAUGCGGUUAAAAUCAAAAUUCACUUGCACAUUCACUCAUACAUGCUGCUUCUACUCCGGAAGUACGCAUCCACAUACAUCCACUCCUUUCCAUCUCCAGGUUCACCCAAAAUUAUUCUACUCCUAUCCAGGAGAGAAUAGGCAAAAACAUUAUCCUAUCCCUGUUAUUCCCCGUGAAAUAAAUGCUCGAGAUAUUUUGGUUACUACCACUUGCUACAUUAUUCUAGGAGGGUGAGUGCUCUGAAAAAAAAGAAGUGAAUACGAGGAAAUAAAAAGGUGCAAGUGCCCAGAACCUCGAAGAAAAGAAAAAGUGAGACGAGAGGUAAAAUUGGACAAGUGUCCGACAAUAGAAUUAGGGGUACAAGAUACCCACCUGACACUACAAGAAAUAUGCUAAUCAUCAACUUUAGAUUAUUCCAAUGCUUAACAUUUUGGUUGGCUCCUGAUCUUUGGUGCUAGAAAAUUAUUAAUUAGCUUGAUUCUUCUUUGCAUGGUACUCUAUCCCUGUCUCUGUUAAGUGUGCAGUUUUUUUUAUUUACUAGCAGCUCCACAUGAUGUCUAGUUGAGUGUGCAGUUUUUUUAUUUACUAGCAGCGGCACUUGAGACAUGGCGACAUGGUGGCCUAUCCUAAAUGCUAAACAACCUGAAUGUCUUUGAGCUGUAACAGCAAACUUGUAAAGUUUUCUAACUGUUAGCAUGUUGGCUUUGUCCAUGACUCUGUGGGUUUGUUCAUUGUUCUGUGCGCAUGUGUCAAAUGAGUUUGUAUUUUGCAUUACUUUACUAUAUGACUAGUCUGCUCUGGUGAAUAAAUGCUAUGUUUUCAUGUAUGAGAUCAAAUGGAAAUGACCUAUGUAUUUAUAUUUAUUUUGUGUUUUGCUUUAGGGUGAUAAAUCAAAUGGAAUAAUAGUGCAUAUUGGAGGAUGAACAAUCUGGGUUUUUCAACGGCAAGAGGUUGCUACUGCUGCUUCUACCACAAGCUCUCAAGCGAACACCACCAUAAUGUAGUGGAUGAAGAUUAGACAUAAAUGUUAAUAUUGCGACAACCAAUUCGUGUAAUUUGUUCCAUUGGAUGAAAAUUUCUAUGUGAUCUAUUGUUAGGUGAAAACGUGAGACCUUGUAUUUGAUUACUAGAUGAAAAACUUAUUUA